Long non-coding RNA from Mus musculus (house mouse), 1650 nucleotides. RefSeq annotates it as predicted gene, 40133. NCBI's taxonomy places the organism in Eukaryota, Metazoa, Chordata, Mammalia, Rodentia, Muridae. The transcript has 2 exons. The record is from RefSeq and is a predicted model, not a curated record.
UGAGCAGAUGGAUCGGAGGUAGUAGGAUUGUUCAUCUCUUGGAUGUGAUGGCCUCAGUGAGGAGGGUGUGUUAGGUAGAAUCCUUGGGCAGCCAGCAAGUCUUAGGACAAUUCAAGGUAGAGGUAGAAUCCUCUACAGAGAGGCAGGAAACAACAGCAUCUGUGUUUGGAGACUUGAAUGCCUUUAGACGGGCUGUAGACAAGACCUGAUGCUGGCUCAGUUGUUCGUGGUCAUAUCACACGGGACCUUCUGUGGCAACUCUGAGGAUCUGGAGUCAGAGCUUUAUUCUUGUUUGUUCACAGUAGAAUCCCAACAGUAUAUGGUUAAGGAAAGCUUCCAGUUAUUACUGUCUCCUCUUCAGGCUCUGAAGGUUGUCUCACAUUUUUGUCAUCCGAGUUUCUGGAUUUCAACUUCACUUUUAUAUCUCUAGUUCAUCCGGGUAGAUUGCUUUUGGGGUUUUAGGUGGGGAUCAACAAUUGCUUCUUCAUAAUGAGCAAGUUUUCACAGUGCAUCUACUGAACCAACAGAAACUCACAUACUUCCUUUUUUGUUAUUUUAUUAAUCUUCCUUUGUUCUGGACAAAACCCAACAAUUUUCAUUACCUUUUCUAUUUUGUUAAGGUUGAAUCUAUUAUUUAUGAACAAUUAUCUUUUACUAUAAAAUAUUGUUUAUAUUUAUUAAAUACCUCAUAAAAAUCUAAGCAGGUAUUUUGUUUGUUAUUGUACUGAAAAAAAAAAGAGAUAAGCCUUUCGAGUUCCUAUGAGGCUAAAAUAUUUUUACUUUUACAUUUCGUUGAUAAUUUUGUUGAGUUUGGAAUUGUGCUAAAAAUGAUUUUUCUUCAGAACUUUGAAAGCAGGGUUUUGCUGGUGUCUCACAUCUAUUAUGCUGGUGAAAUAGCUUGUGAUUUGAGGUACUUUUAAGAAUUUUAAAUUAUGUUCAAGGUUUUAACAUUUUGCAAUAAAAUAUUCAUGUUAUUUUUAAUUUCCCAUUUCUUUUAAAGUUAUCAUGCUAAAAACUUGGUGUUAUACUUUUUUGUGUGAAGGCAUUUGCCUUACUUUCUGGGAAUUUUUCUUAUAUUGUUUCUUUAAUAACUUGCAUUUUCAUUUUUUAAGUUUUGUUUUGCAGCUUGUAUUAACUCAGUGUUAGCAUAUUUUAUUUCUUCUAUUCAUGUUUCAUUUCUUUGCUUCUUUGUUUUUAUUCUAGAAAAUUUCUUUGACCUUAUUUUUGUUUCCUUCUAAUUAUCUUAUUUUGUUUUUGAGAGGUCCCCUAAGAGAUAAAACAUCUUGGAAUGGAGAAGUAUGAGUUUCCCAGGGAAGCAGACUGGCUCCUCAGAGGAUGAUACUGACAAUGGACUGUUAAUCAUGGAUGGCUCUGACAAAGGAAGGACAAACUCAGAGCUCAGUUGGUUCCUGGAAUUUCUUCAAGGCCUCACUAAAUUAGUGAAUCUAACAUUGCAGCCAAUCAGAAAUUGAUCUAUGUAACUUCCCUGGCACCCACCAGUGAAGUUUUAAAUUAUCUAACUUUUGCUAAAAUUUCCCUAGUUUCCUAUAAAAUCGGCUUGCGUGCCUGUGAGGUCACCCUUUUGCUGAAUGCUUAACCUCUGUAUGGUGGUAACUCCUACAGAAUAAAUGCUCUUUGCUUUUGAUACUA